AACUUAUGACAUUUACGUUUCGAGUAAUUCGACAAAGGAUGUUUCUCCAAAUCUUGUCUGCUACUAUACUCGAACUUAGGGAUCAACCUCCUUUUGACAGACAAGAAAUUGACAGUCCCAAACCUUCCUUCACAUUCAGUCACCACUUACAGCGUACAAUCGACUGAUUAGUGAUUUUGAAGUACUGUACAUUUCGAGCCUGUAAAGGGGGCAUACACCUGGUACAUCGAUUGCUUCCUGUUUACUUGUACGCUUCCCCUUAACCCAUGAUUCGGCUGCUUUCAGAUCUCUGGGUCUAUCCGAUCCCGGCUUGUCAAAACUAGUCAACAGGAUGGAUAUAUGCACAGCCGAGUUGCCUCUCGAGUGCCAGAUCGGAAAUUAGAACAAAAAACCAAUCCAAAAGUUUCUAAAACCCACAGAGUAUCUAAAGCAGAUACCGGAGACUCAUCAAUUACAAUACCAUGAGGCAGCCAAUUUAAGGAGCAGCUUUAGAAAGCUGACUGGACCAAAUUCUAGAGCACAGCUGGUAAUACCAAGGCCUGCAAGUUCUUGCAACCAUAAGCUCUCGC
Molecule: small RNA, 569 nt
Filed under: Histoplasma ohiense
Lineage: Eukaryota; Fungi; Ascomycota; Eurotiomycetes; Onygenales; Ajellomycetaceae
Description: hypothetical lncRNA
Source: RNAcentral